Molecule: ribosomal RNA, 293 nt
Filed under: uncultured bacterium
Lineage: Bacteria
Description: partial 16S ribosomal RNA
Rfam family: Archaeal small subunit ribosomal RNA
Source: RNAcentral
GUGCCGGCCGCCGCGGUAAUACCGGCAGCUCAAGUGAUGUCCCAUAUUAUUGGGCCUAAAGCGUCCGUAGCUGGCCGACCAAGUCUCCCGGGAAAUCCACCCGCCCAACGGGUGGGCGUCCGGCGGAACCUGUGUGGCUUGGGACCGGGAGGCCUGAGGGGUACGAUCGGGGUAGGAGUGAAAUCCUGUAAUCCCGCUCGGACCGCCGAUGGGGAAACCACCUCAGGAGAACGGAUCCGACAGUGAGGGACGAAAGCCAGGGUCUCGAACCGGAUUAGAUACCCUAGUAGUCC